GAUGAACGCUGGCGGCGUGCCUAAUACAUGCAAGUCGAGCGAACAGACGAGGAGCUUGCUCCUCUGACGUUAGCGGCGGACGGGUGAGUAACACGUGGAUAACCUACCUAUAAGACUGGGAUAACUUCGGGAAACCGGAGCUAAUACCGGAUAAUAUAUUGAACCGCAUGGUUCAAUAGUGAAAGACGGUUUUGCUGUCACUUAUAGAUGGAUCCGCGCCGCAUUAGCUAGUUGGUAAGGUAACGGCUUACCAAGGCAACGAUGCGUAGCCGACCUGAGAGGGUGAUCGGCCACACUGGAACUGAGACACGGUCCAGACUCCUACGGGAGGCAGCAGUAGGGAAUCUUCCGCAAUGGGUGAAAGCCUGACGGAGCAACGCCGCGUGAGUGAUGAAGGUCUUCGGAUCGUAAAACUCUGUUAUUAGGGAAGAACAAAUGUGUAAGUAACUAUGCACGUCUUGACGGUACCUAAUCAGAAAGCCACGGCUAACUACGUG
RNAcentral lists this ribosomal RNA (497 nucleotides) under uncultured bacterium. RNAcentral's name for it is "partial 16S ribosomal RNA". It matches the Rfam family "Bacterial small subunit ribosomal RNA", at positions 28 to 507 of the family's 1533-position model. The record is from RNAcentral.